Cordylochernes scorpioides is the source of this 72-nucleotide non-coding RNA. The record is from the annotation of a GenBank genome assembly. Lineage: Eukaryota; Metazoa; Arthropoda; Arachnida; Pseudoscorpiones; Chernetidae.
UCCUUGGUAGUGUAAUCGUGAGCAUUCCUGCCUGUCACGCAGAAUAAAAGAGUUCGAUUCCCUGCCGAGAAG